RNAcentral lists this ribosomal RNA (508 nucleotides) under uncultured organism. Its description in RNAcentral is "SSU rRNA". It matches the Rfam family "Eukaryotic small subunit ribosomal RNA", at positions 569 to 1078 of the family's 1831-position model. The record is from RNAcentral.
AGCAGCCGCGGUAAUUCCAGCUCCAAUAGCGUAUAUUAAAGUUGUUGCAGUUAAAAAGCUCGUAGUUGAACCUUGGGCCCGUCCUGCCGGUCCGCCUCACCGCGAGUACUGGUCCGGAUGGGCCUUUCUUUCUGGGGAAUCCCAUGGCCUUCACUGGCUGUGGCGGGGAACCAGGACUUUUACUGUGAAAAAAUUAGAGUGUUCAAAGCAGGCCUUUGCUCGGAUACAUUAGCAUGGAAUAAUAGAAUAGGACGUGCGGUUCUAUUUUGUUGGUUUCUAGGACCGCCGUAAUGAUUAAUAGGGAUAGUCGGGGGCGUCAGUAUUCAGCUGUCAGAGGUGAAAUUCUUGGAUUUGCUGAAGACUAACUACUGCGAAAGCAUUCGCCAAGGAUGUUUUCAUUAAUCAGGGAACGAAAGUUAGGGGAUCGAAGACGGUCAGAUACCGUCGUAGUCUUAACCAUAAACUAUGCCGACUAGGGAUCGGAUGAUGUUAAUUUUAUAAUGACUCA